GAUGAACGCUAGCGGCAGGCUUAAUACAUGCAAGUCGAGGGGCAGCACGGUUAGCAAUAACUGGUGGCGACCGGCGCACGGGUGCGUAACACGUAUACAAUCUACCUUAAACAGGGGAUAGCCUUUCGAAAGAGAGAUUAAUACCCCGUAAUAAAUUGAACGGCAUCGUUUGAUUUUGAAAGCUCCGGCGGUUUGAGAUGAGUAUGCGUCUGAUUAGCUAGUUGGUGAGGUAACGGCUCACCAAGGCGACGAUCAGUAGGGGAUCUGAGAGGACUAACCCCCCACACUGGUACUGAGACACGGACCAGACUCCUACGGGAGGCAGCAGUAAGGAAUAUUGGUCAAUGGAGGCAACUCUGAACCAGCCAUGCCGCGUGCAGGAUGACGGCCCUAUGGGUUGUAAACUGCUUUUAUACAAGAGAAAACCCUGGUACGUGUACCAGGUUGAUAGUAUUGUAAGAAUAAGCAUCGGCUAAACUUCGUGCCAGCAGCCGCGGU
This 498-nucleotide ribosomal RNA is filed under the name uncultured bacterium. Its description in RNAcentral is "bacterial SSU rRNA". It matches the Rfam family "Bacterial small subunit ribosomal RNA", at positions 28 to 521 of the family's 1533-position model. The record is from RNAcentral.